CGGGGUGAGUAAUGUCUGGGAAACUGCCUGAUGGAGGGGGAUAACUGCUGGAAACGGUAGCUAAUACCGCAUAACGUCGCAAGACCAAAGAGGGGGACCUUCGGGCCUCUUGCCAUCGGAUGUGCCCAGAUGGGAUUAGCUAGUAGGUGGGGUAACGGCUCACCUAGGCGACGAUCCUUAGCUGGUCUGAGAGGAUGACCAGCCACACUGGAACUGAGACACGGUCCAG
Molecule: ribosomal RNA, 229 nt
Filed under: uncultured bacterium
Lineage: Bacteria
Description: partial 16S ribosomal RNA
Rfam family: Bacterial small subunit ribosomal RNA
Source: RNAcentral